Long non-coding RNA from Zonotrichia leucophrys gambelii, 555 nucleotides. RefSeq lists it as uncharacterized. The transcript has 4 exons. The record is from RefSeq and is a predicted model, not a curated record. NCBI's taxonomy places the organism in Eukaryota, Metazoa, Chordata, Aves, Passeriformes, Passerellidae.
UGCUGUUUUCUGCCUUUCACCAAACAUUUGGGCUUCUGGGUGUCGCUUUAGGCAGAGCUUUCAACAGACAAACCCACAGUGUGAGAAGAGGCUGGAUUCAAGUGUGACUUCAAAAUGUCAGUGCUGCCCAUCUGCAGGAUUUAAAGAGGAAAUGAAUGGAGAACAUCAAGUCCCCAAUCUUUAGGAAAUUCUGGCCCAGGAUCUUAUUCAGUACAUGAACUUGCUGUGAGCUGCACCAGGGCCUACCAGCUCCUCUCUGCUGGAGAUGGGGAAGGAGAUUGGGAGCUGUAGGAACAGAUUCAGGGGACAGAAGCCCACAGAGAUCUUCCCCAGAAGAUGAGUGGAGCAGAUCAGAGAUGGGACUGAAGGAAUUGUCACCACCCACAGCUUUCUCCUGCUCUGCACAGUGAAUGCACAGGUGCUUUUGGAAGUGUUGGCCAGCAGCUCACCAUGACUGGCACCCCACAGCAGAACACCAGGGUCAAACUCUGCCUAAGCAGGUGACAGAGCAGGUGGAUUGUGCUUGGAGGCUGCAGACUGCACACAUGAGCCAGG